UGUAAAUAGCUUGUUAAAAAUGAUAUAGGUAAAAGGAGGAAAGAAAAAUAAUUUUAAAGAAAAAUUGUGUUAGUAAUUUUUAAUGAAAGUAGGAUAAAGACUAGAGAGAAAAGUACUGUGAAGGAAAGCAAUAAGACUUAGUAUAGGAAAAGUAAACUUUUGUGCCUUGUGUAUCAGAAAAAAUUUAUAUAAUUUAGUCAGUCUAAAGGUCUCGAAAUAAAAUAUAGUAAUUUUUAUAAAAUUUUCUUUUUAGAAAAAAAGAAUUUAAUGUAAAAUUUAAAGUGAAACGCUAGUUGAGUUUUAUUAUAUCUAGUUUUUUUAAAAAUAAAUUGAAUUUAUUUUUUAUAGCUAUAAGAUAUAAAAUUUAAUGGCAAGAGGGAACAGCUUCUUGUGUAAAAUGUUGUAAAAUAGUUAAGUAAUAGGAUAUUUUAUAGAUUAGGCUUAAAAGUAGCCAUAUUUAAAAAGUGUUUUAACUAAAUUAUGGUUAAAAAAUAUUUAGGGUAACUUUUUCAAUGUAUAAAAAAAUUAUUUGAAAUGUAAAAGAAUAAAAUAUAAUGAUUUUAUUAGUAAAAUUUGCUAUGAAAAUGAGUGUUAGAGUGGUAAAAAUUGUUUAUGAAAAAAAAUAAUAAUAAAAAGGAAUUCAGCAAAAAUUUUCUUUGCCUGUUUAUCAAAAACAUGUCUUUUUGAAAGUAGAGAAAGUCAAGCCUGCCCGCUGAGUAUUUUAAGGGCCGCGGUAUAUUGACCGUGCGAAGGUAGCGUAAUCAUUAGUUUUUUAAUUGGAAUCUUGUAUGAAUGGUUAGACAAAAGAAAACCUGUCUCUUUAUUAAAAGUUGAAUUUAACUUUUAAGUGAAAAGGCUUAAAUAAAUUAAAGGGACGAUAAGACCCUAUAAAGCUUAAUAUAAAAUGUUGUUUGGCUGAAUUUGAAUAUAAAGGGGUUACAAUAUGGUUUAUUUUAUUGGGGUGAUAAAAGUAAAAUGAAAAUUAACUGCUUUAAUUUUGAAACACUAAUAGUUGAGAUAAGUAAAUUAGAGAUCCUUAAUAAAGAUUACAAGUUCAAGUUACUUUAGGGAUAACAGCGUUAUUUUUUUUGAGAGUACAUAUCGAAAAAAGAGUUUGCGACCUCGAUGUUG
Molecule: ribosomal RNA, 1131 nt
Filed under: Macrophthalmus aff. japonicus
Lineage: Eukaryota; Metazoa; Arthropoda; Malacostraca; Decapoda; Macrophthalmidae
Description: 16S ribosomal RNA
Source: RNAcentral